RNAcentral lists this ribosomal RNA (30 nucleotides) under Jumellea sp. 1 MSD-2018. RNAcentral describes it as "partial 5.8S ribosomal RNA". The record is from RNAcentral. Lineage: Eukaryota; Viridiplantae; Streptophyta; Magnoliopsida; Asparagales; Orchidaceae.
GACACGACUCUCGGCAAUGGAUAUCUCGGC